CUCUUUCUGUUCAUAAACAUUCUUCCACGACGUGCUGUGCUGGAAUCCCUGAGCCUGCUCUGGCCUGGGAGGCUGCCUGAUUUUACACAAAGAACUCUUGAAUCCCCUUUUAUCAUUUUCUGAACCAUUUGAGAGCAAGCUGCAAUCAUAAGAUCCAGCACCUCUAAACACUCCAGAAUAUAUUUUUAGAUAUAACCCUGUAAUGGCUGAAAAGUGUUCCCCCCAAAUUCACAUCCUCCUGAAACCUCAGAAUGUGACCUUAUUUUGAAAUAGGGUCAUUACAGAUGUAAUGAAGGAUCUCCAAUUGAAUCCGUCCAAGGAUUAAGGUGGGCCCUGAAUCCCAUAGACUGGUGUCCUCAUAAGAAAAGGUGAGGACAAAGAGAGACACAGAGACACACAGAUAGCUAUGUGAAGAUGGAAGCAGAGGUUGGGGAUCUGCUGCCACAAACAAAGGCACCCCAAGUAUUGCCAGCAACCACCAGAAGCAAGGAGAAAGGCAUGGGACGCUUUCUCCAUCAGAGUCUCCGGAAGGAACCAAGCUUACUGACACCUUGAUUUUGGACUUCUAGCCCCCAGAACUUCAAGAUAAUACAUUUCUGUUGUUUAAAGCCA
Molecule: long non-coding RNA, 612 nt
Organism: Homo sapiens (human)
Lineage: Eukaryota; Metazoa; Chordata; Mammalia; Primates; Hominidae
Source: Ensembl